UACGAAGGGGGCUGGCGUUGUUCGGAAUUACUGGGCGUAAAGAGCGUGUAGGCGGUCUGGUAGGUCCGUUGUGAAAACUCGAGGCUCAACCUCGAGACGCCGAUGGAAACCCUCAGACUAGAGUCCGGAAGAGGAGAGUGGAAUUCCUGGUGUAGCGGUGAAAUGCGCAGAUAUCAGGAAGAACACCCGUGGCUAAGGCGGCUCUCUAGUACGGUACUGACGCUGAGACGCGAAAGCGUGGGGAGCGAACAGG
This 253-nucleotide ribosomal RNA is filed under the name uncultured bacterium. RNAcentral's name for it is "partial 16S ribosomal RNA". It matches the Rfam family "Bacterial small subunit ribosomal RNA", at positions 524 to 776 of the family's 1533-position model. The record is from RNAcentral.